GGGCGGGGCGCGGGGCGGAGCCUCGGCCGGAGGCGGCCGUGUCCCCAGACCGGCCCGGGGCCGCAGUGGCCGCCGCCGAGCCAGGCUGCUCAGAGCGCCCGGGCGCAGACGGGUCCGCGGGCCGACGGGGCGCGCAGAGCAGGUAGAGCCUCCCCUGUCCCCACCCGUCCCGCGACUAGACCGCCAGCCCGCGCCGCCGCCGCUCCCCGAGCUGAGCGGUCGCGCCCCCACCACGACCCCGGACCAUCCUCCAGCCCCUGGGGUUGAAUUCCUGGGGAGGGGGUCUGAUCCGCCGGUACUCUGGCCCCAUCCUCCGGGCGGCCACUGAGCCAAACUUCCUACAAGGCACAUAGUAAAGUUGGAAAACAUACCCAAGACCUCCCUGCACGCGCUGGCGCCUCUGCCUCCCUCCUCCAGGGGGAUGCUUUUCGAGGACAUGUCCUCCUUCCCCACCCCCAACAGACACUUUCACUCCUGGAAUUGAGGGACAGGGUCGCCGACAGGGAUGCAGGUGAGUGCCUUUGAUACAGCUCAACCUGAUGGCGCAGGAGGUUGACCCAAAGGAAAGACACCUGUUGGAUAGUCCUCCAGGCCCCAGGAGAGGGCCGGAUGAGGAAGAAGGAAUUCUGACUCAGGACAGGGACUCUCCAUGGCCAGCCCAGAACCACACUAUCUAGCCCCCACCCACCAGCAGUGGCCCAUUUCCUAGAGUCCCUUGGGUCAACGUUGGAGAAGGGAUUAGCUCUGCUCCAGUCGCUCUCCUUGAUCUCUACUGUCCAGAGUGGGAGGUGUGGCCAGAAGGAGCCCAGGUUUGUCCUGACCAGGGUCCAGCCUGGCACCAGAGUGACCAGUUCUGACCUCUACUUUCCUCACCUUGGUCAGAGAGAGACACCAGAUGAGGGACAUGAAAAGGAGUGAAAGCACAAAUGUGUGUCUGUUUCCACAGAGCAGAGGGUAUCGGCCCCCUGCCCAGCUGUGCAGGGGAGGGUGGGGCGAGACUUUUCCAGAGAGGGAGCCAGGCCUGGCCCCACCCCAGGAGCUCACGUCACCCCCACCCCUCACUUCUCCAGGGAACUGCCAAAGCCAGCUCAGGACAGGAUUAUGUGUACUGGGUAGACCCGUGAAGAGAAGCAGCAAGAAUAGACCCGGGGAGUCGAGGGGAGCCCAGGAGAGGGGAGUGGAGCAGGCAGUGACCAUCACCCUGUCUCUGCUUCCCUUCAUCCCCAAGUAACAUCCAGGCAGAGGGCUGAGAGUUGGGUUGGAAUGUGGGUCCUUCUCUGGAACCCUAUCUCCCCCUCCCAUCAGGGCAGAGUUGCUGACCUCAGUGGCCAGCCCAGCCAGGGGAAAGAGAGGCCACCAUCAACCCCCUCUCCAACUCCAAGCAGCUGAGGUGGCCCUGCCCUGUGGCUCGGCCACUUUGAUCCCUCCCUCCAACUCUGAGUCCUGGGGUCCAACAGAGAGGCUGGAGCUGAGUGGUGCUACCCCCAAGCGCAUUCCUAC
RNAcentral lists this long non-coding RNA (1500 nucleotides) under Marmota monax (woodchuck). The record is from RNAcentral. Lineage: Eukaryota; Metazoa; Chordata; Mammalia; Rodentia; Sciuridae.